RNAcentral lists this ribosomal RNA (447 nucleotides) under uncultured bacterium. Its description in RNAcentral is "partial 16S ribosomal RNA". It matches the Rfam family "Bacterial small subunit ribosomal RNA", at positions 29 to 523 of the family's 1533-position model. The record is from RNAcentral.
AACGAACGCUGGCGGCAGGCUUAACACAUGCAAGUCGAGCGCCCCGCAAGGGGAGCGGCAGACGGGUGAGUAACACGUGGGAAUCUACCCAUCCCUACGGAACAACUCCGGGAAACUGGAGCUAAUACCGUAUACGCCCUUUGGGGGAAAGAUUUAUCGGGGAUGGAUGAGCCCGCGUUGGAUUAGCUAGUUGGUGGGGUAAAGGCCUACCAAGGCGACGACCCUUAGCUGGUCUGAGAGGAUGAUCAGCCACAUUGGGACUGAGACACGGCCCAAACUCCUACGGGAGGCAGCAGUGGGGAAUAUUGGACAAUGGGCGCAAGCCUGAUCCAGCCAUGCCGCGUGAAUGAUGAAGGCCUUAGGGUUGUAAAGUUCUUUCACCGAUGAAGAUAAUGACGGUAGUCGGAGAAGAAGCCCCGGCUAACUUCGUGCCAGCCGCCGCCGUAA